UACGUAGGGUGCGAGCGUUGUCCGGAAUUAUUGGGCGUAAAGGGCUCGUAGGCGGUUUGUCGCGUCGGGAGUGAAAACACCGGGCUUAACUCGGUGCUGGCUUUCGAUACGGGCAGACUAGAGGUAUGCAGGGGAGAACGGAAUUCCUGGUGUAGCGGUGAAAUGCGCAGAUAUCAGGAGGAACACCGGUGGCGAAGGCGGGUCUCUGGGCCACUACUGACGCUGAGGAGCGAAAGCGUGGGGAGCGAACAGG
This 253-nucleotide ribosomal RNA is filed under the name uncultured bacterium. RNAcentral's name for it is "partial 16S ribosomal RNA". It matches the Rfam family "Bacterial small subunit ribosomal RNA", at positions 524 to 776 of the family's 1533-position model. The record is from RNAcentral.